This 2265-nucleotide ribosomal RNA is filed under the name gut metagenome. Its description in RNAcentral is "bacterial LSU rRNA". It matches the Rfam family "Bacterial large subunit ribosomal RNA", at positions 708 to 2844 of the family's 2925-position model. The record is from RNAcentral.
CCUGGACCCGAAGCGGGAUGAUCUAGCCCUGGGCAGGUUGAAGCGCGGGUAAGACCGCGUGGAGGACCGAACCCACCUGGGUUGAAAACCGGGGGGAUGACCUGGGGCUAGGGGUGAAAGGCCAAUCAAAUUCCGUGAUAGCUGGUUCUCUCCGAAAUGCAUUUAGGUGCAGCGUCGGUCGAUUGCGUCGCGGGGGUAGAGCUACCGGAUGCUUGCGGGCCCUUGUUGGGUACCAACAGCAGCCGAACUCCGAAUACCGUUGACGUGUAUUCCGGCAGUGAGUCGGCGGGGGAUAAGCUCCGUCGUCGAGAGGGAGACAGCCCAGACCGUCGUCUAAGGUCCCGAAGCGUGUGCUAAGUGGGAAAGGAUGUGGAGUCGCAUAGACAGCCAGGAGGUUGGCUCAGAAGCAGCCAUCCUUGAAAGAGUGCGUAACAGCUCACUGGUCUAGUGGUUCCGCGCCGACAAUGUAGCGGGGCUCAAGCACACCACCGAAGACGCGGCAGCGCAUUUGAUGCGCUGGGUAGGAGAGCGUCCUGCAUGGGGCGAAGCGGCCGGGUAACCGUGCCGUGGACCGUGUGGGAGUGAGAAUGCAGACAUGAGUAGCGAGAGACGGGUGAGGAUCCCGUCCGCUGGAUGACCAAGGGUUCCGGGGCCACGUUCGUCGUCCCCGGGUGAGUCGGGUCCUAAGGCGAGGCCGACAGGCGUAGUCGAAUGGAUGAACGGGUGGAUAUUCCCGUACCGACCAUGGACCGGCAAAACCGAGACGGUGAGUACUAACCUCCGCCUCGUGGUGGUUCCUUCCUUCGGGUUGGUCCCGCCGCGUGGUGUUGGGACUGUAGCCGUAGUAGGUCAGCGCAGGGGUGACACGGAAUGGGAGCCGGCCGCGGAGGUGGUUUUCCGUGGUCAAGCACGCAGCCAGUCAUGUAGGCAAAUCCGCAUGGCAUGCAUGGCGAGGUGUGAUGAUGGGAGCCUUUUGGGCUCGAUAUCCGGUUGUCCAGGCCGUCGAGAAAAGCCUCGGCGUGAGGGCCAUGGCCGCCCGUACCCCAAACCGACACUGGUGGUCAGGUAGAGAAUACCAAGGCGAUCGAGCGAAUCCUGGUCAAGGAACUCGGCAAAUCACUCCCGUGCCUUCGGUAUAAGGGAGACCCGCUGGGGUGAACCGGCUAGCCCGGGGAGCUUUGGUGGGUGGCACAGACCAGGGGGUAGCGACUGUUUACCAAAAACACAGGUGCAUGCGAAGGCGAAAGCCGCUGUAUAUGCACUGACGCCUGCCCGGUGCCGGAAGGUUAAGAGGAUCCGUCAAUCCUUCGGGACGAAGCGGUGAAUUCAAGCCCCGGUAAACGGCGGUGGUAACUAUAACCAUCCUAAGGUAGCGAAAUUCCUUGUCGGGUAAGUUCCGACCUGCACGAAUGGCGUAACGACUUCCCCACUGUCUCGACCAGGAGCUCGGCGAAAUUGCAGUACGAGUAAAGAUGCUCGUUAAGCGCAGAAGGACGAAAAGACCCCGGGACCUUUACUAUACCUUGGUAUUGGCGUUAGGCGCGGAUUGUGUAGCAUAGGCGGGAGGCUUCGAAGCGUGGGCGCCAGCUCAUGUGGAGCCGCAAGGUGAAAUACCGCUCUGUUCUCGUUUGACGUCUAACCUCGACAAGUCAUCCUUGUCAGGGACAGUGCCUGGCGGGUAGUUCAACUGGGGCGGUUGCCUCCCAAAGAGUAACGGAGGCGCUCAAAGGUCCGCUCAGCCCGGUUGGCAAUCGGGUGUCGAGUGUAAUCGCACAAGCGGGCUUGACUGCGAGGACGACGGUCCGAGCAGGGACGAAAGUCGGAGAUAGUGAUCCGGUGCCGGCGCACGGGCGCGGCAUCGCUCAACGGAUAAAAGGUACCCCGGGGAUAACAGGCUGAUCAUUCCCAAGAGUCCAUAUCGACGGGAUGGUUUGGCACCUCGAUGUCGGCUCGUCGCAUCCUGGGGCUGGAGCAGGUCCCAAGGGUUCGGCUGUUCGCCGAUUAAAGCGGCACGCGAGCUGGGUUCAGAACGUCGUGAGACAGUUUGGUCUCUAUCCUCUGCGCUCGUUGGAAUCCUGAGGAGGCCUGCCCAUAGUACGAGAGGACCUGGGUGGACGAACCUCUGGUAUGCCGGUUGUCGCGCCAGCGGCACGGCCGGUUGGCUACGUUCGGGAGGGAUAACCGCUGAAAGCAUCUAAGCGGGAAGCCUGCUCCAAGAUUAGGAUUCCUUGACGCUCCCCGGAGCGUCCGAAGCCCGCAUGUUGA